This is a long non-coding RNA of Eucalyptus grandis, 1233 nucleotides long. RefSeq lists it as uncharacterized. The record is from RefSeq and is a predicted model, not a curated record. Lineage: Eukaryota; Viridiplantae; Streptophyta; Magnoliopsida; Myrtales; Myrtaceae. The transcript has 2 exons.
UUAGCUGGCUUCCUUCAUCACACGUCCGGACGCUGCCUCACUCUCAAUACAUCUUCAAGCUUCAAAGUCUUUGGCUACCUUCCUUUUCCUCUCGCCAAAAUCGAAGCUGCUUUGUGCUUCGUGUUGAUGCCCGUUCGGUCCAACCCCAGCAUCGAAGACUUGCAGCAAUUCCAUGUGAAGCCUGCUGCUUCGUGUCCUCUCCUCCACCGAAGUUGCUCCAUCUCUGCUCCGCCAGCGCUCCUUCUUCGUUGGUCGCUUUUUCCCCCAGGCUGCAACUUGGCUGCAUCCUCUCUUGUUUCGGUUAAAACAGCUGAGUUGAAGACCGAAGUGAAGCCGCACGAGUCCACCGAAUUCUGCCAUCCACCGAAGCCACUUGCCAGUCAACUCCAACGCCCACCGAAGACCACCGAUUCAACCAAGGAAAAACCCAUAUCUUCGUCUGCAAGGUCCACCGAAAGCCAGCCAUGUUGACUCUUUGCUGCUAGCAAAUUCGUGGACGCAAGCCAGCUGCCCGCGUGGUCUUCUUCAGCCGAAUCGAAGACCCAGCGACACCAGCGAGCUUGUCAGCAGGUCUUCAGCAACGACGCACGAAGCCCCCACGAGCGCCAGCCCACCGAUCCUUCAGCAAGCUCACGCACUCCAGUCCACCUUCGCCUCAGUUUGCUUCGGCCCAAUUCGCAGCUAUCCAACAAGCAGCCCACCGAAUAGGCAGCUUCCAAUUGCAGUUUGUUCAGCCCAUUUGGGCCGCAAGUCAGCCCAGUCGAAUUUCACCAGUAGCAGCCCAUCAGCAGAAUUUUAUUGAGGCCCAUCUCCUGCAGUCUUCAAGCCCAGUCCAGUCCAAGUGAAUUAAUUGGUCAAGCCUAGUCCAGCAGCCCAUCAACUGAAAUUUUGAGGCCCAAUUUCCAGCAAAGCAAUUGAAACCCAGUCCGCAACUUGAAGCCCGUUUGAGCCCAGCUUAGCAUUUUGGUCUCAAGAUCCUGAUGAGGAGCCUGAGGAGGAGGAAUUUGAAGAGGAGAACCUUGAUGUGGAACCAGAUGAGGAGGAAGAUUUUGGAGAAGAAGAUGACCACGAGGAGGAUCCUGAGUAUGACCCUUGAUGAGGACUGAGAUCCCAUCAUGUUUUGUUAGACCUUGAUUAUAUGUGGAUAAGUGUUAGAUCAGACCAUUGUGAAUAGUAUUGAAAAUUAUGGCCCUUCUUUUCUAUCCGAAUGUUUUAUUGUCUGGGGAUUUUUAA